CCAGCAGCUGCGGUAAUUCCAGCUCCAAUAGCGUAUAUUAAAGUUGUUGCGGUUAAAAAGCUCGUAGUUGGAUCUCGGCAGGCAGGGGGCGGUUCGAUGUUCAUCGCUACUGCCCCAUUUGCCUGUGUGAUUGGCAGAGGUUUCGGGGUGCUCUUCGUUGAGUGUCCCGGGGCGCUGUCAGGUUUACUUUGAAAAAAUUAGAGUGCUCAAAGCAGGCUUCACGCGCUUGAAUAUUCGUGCAUGGAAUAAUGGAAUAGGAACUCGUUUCUAUUUUGUUGGUUUUCGGAAAUUGAGUUAAUGAUUGAUAGGGACAAUUGGGGGCAUUAGUAUUCAGACGACAGAGGUGAAAUUCUUGGACCGUCUGAAGACUAACUACUGCGAAAGCAUUUGCCAAGAGUGUUUU
Molecule: ribosomal RNA, 403 nt
Filed under: uncultured eukaryote
Lineage: Eukaryota
Description: SSU rRNA
Rfam family: Eukaryotic small subunit ribosomal RNA
Source: RNAcentral